UGGGGAAUAUUGGACAAUGGGCGCAAGCCUGAUCCAGCCAUGCCGCGUGAGUGAUGAAGGCCCUAGGGUUGUAAAGCUCUUUCACCGGUGAAGAUAAUGACGGUAACCGGAGAAGAAGCCCCGGCUAACUUCGUGCCAGCAGCCGCGGUAAUACGAAGGGGGCUAGCGUUGUUCGGAUUUACUGGGCGUAAAGCGCACGUAGGCGGACUUUUAAGUCAGGGGUGAAAUCCCGGGGCUCAACCCCGGAACUGCCUUUGAUACUGGGAGUCGUGAGUAUGGUAGAGGUGAGUGGAAUUCCGAGUGUAGAGGUGAAAUUCGUAGAUAUUCGGAGGAACACCAGUGGCGAAGGCGGCUCACUGGGCCAUUACUGACGCUGAGGUGCGAAAGCGUGGGGAGCAAACAGG
This 404-nucleotide ribosomal RNA is filed under the name Actinomycetes bacterium. RNAcentral describes it as "Actinobacteria bacterium partial 16S ribosomal RNA". It matches the Rfam family "Bacterial small subunit ribosomal RNA", at positions 355 to 776 of the family's 1533-position model. The record is from RNAcentral. Lineage: Bacteria; Bacillati; Actinomycetota; Actinomycetes.